CCUACGGGUGGCAGCAGUGAGGAAUAUUGGUCAAUGGACGGAAGUCUGAACCAGCCAUGCCGCGUGCAGGAAGACGGCUCUAUGAGUUGUAAACUGCUUUUGUACAAGGGUAAACGUGAAUACGUGUAGUAAGAUAAAAGUACGGUACGAAUAAGGAUCGGCUAACUCCGUGCCAGCAGCAGCGGUAAUACGGAGGAUCCAAGCGUUAUCCGGAUUUAUUGGGGUUAAAGGGUGCGUAGGCGGAUUGCUAAGUCAGAGGUUAAAUGUCCGAGCUGAACUGCGGAACUGCCUCUAAUACUGUUGAUCUUGAGAGUAGCUGCGGUAGGCGGAAUGUCUGGUGUAGCGGUG
This 348-nucleotide ribosomal RNA is filed under the name uncultured bacterium. RNAcentral's name for it is "partial 16S ribosomal RNA". It matches the Rfam family "Bacterial small subunit ribosomal RNA", at positions 338 to 683 of the family's 1533-position model. The record is from RNAcentral.